This 402-nucleotide unclassified non-coding RNA is filed under the name soil metagenome. RNAcentral's name for it is "partial contains 5.8S ribosomal RNA, internal transcribed spacer 2, and large subunit ribosomal RNA". The stretch from base 3 to 120 matches the Rfam family "5.8S ribosomal RNA", at positions 38 to 154 of the family's 154-position model. The record is from RNAcentral.
GAGAAGAACGCAGCGAAAUGCGAUAAGUAAUGUGAAUUGCAGAAUUCAGUGAAUCAUCGAAUCUUUGAACGCACCUUGCGCCCUUUGGCUAUUCCGAAGGGCAUGCCUGUUUGAGUAUCAUGAACACCUCAACUCUUCACGGCUUGCCGUGAUGAGUUUGGACUUUGGGGGUCUUGCUGGCCUACGAGCCAGCUCCUCUCAAAUGUAUUAGCUUGCCGGUGUUUGGUGGCAUCACAGGUGUGAUAACUAUCUACGCUUGUGGUUUUCCACUAGGUAACCUUCAGCAAUGGAGGUUCACCGGAGCUCACAAAUGUCUCUCCUUGCCAAGGACAGAUUUUGACCAUUUGAUCUCAAAUCAGGUAGGACUACCCGCUGAACUUAAGCAUAUCAAUAAGCGGAGGA